Cyprinus carpio carpio is the source of this 776-nucleotide long non-coding RNA. NCBI's taxonomy places the organism in Eukaryota, Metazoa, Chordata, Actinopteri, Cypriniformes, Cyprinidae. The record is from Ensembl.
GUGACUAGCAUGUCGCUAGCAUGUUUGUAGCAUGAUUAGCAUGUUGUUAGCAUGUUUCUAACAUGAUUAGCAUGUUGUUUGUAUGUUGCUAACAUGUUUUUAGCAUGAUUAGUAUGCGACUAGCAUUUUGCUAGCAUGAUUAGCAUGCGACUAGCAUGUCACUAACAUGACUAGCAAAGUUACUAGCAUGUUGCUAGCUUGACUAGCGUGUCUCUAGCAUGUCUCUAGCAUGACGAGCAUGCCAUUAGCAUGAUUAGCAAGUGACUAGCAUGUUAUUAGCAUGUUUUUAGCAUGAUUAGCAAAUGACUAGCAUGUUGGUAGUAUGUCACUAGCAUGUUUUUAGCAUGAUUAGCAUGUCGCUAACAUGUUUCUAGCAUGAUUAGCAUGCGGCUAGCAUUUCUCUAGCAUGAUUAGCAAGUUGCUAGCAUGUUUCUAUCAUGUUUCUAGCAUUACUAGCAUGUUGCUAGUAUGUCACUAGCAUGUUGCUAGCAUGAUUAGCAUGUCGCUAGCAUGUUUGUAGCAUGAUUAGCAUGUUGCUAGCAUGAUUAGCAUGUUGUUAGCAUGUUUCUAACAUGAUUAGCAUGUUGUUUGUAUGUUGCUAACAUGUUUUUAGCAUGAUUAGUAUGCGACUAGCAUUUUGCUAGCAUGAUUAGCAUGCGACUAGCAUGUCACUAACAUGACUAGCAAAGUUACUAGCAUGUUGCUAGCUUGACUAGCGUGUCUCUAGCAUGUCUCUAGCAUGACUAGCAUGCCAUUAGCAUGAUUAGCAAGUGACU